AUUGAACGCUGGCGGCAGGCCUAACACAUGCAAGUCGAGCGGAUGAAGGGAGCUUGCUCCCGGAUUCAGCGGCGGACGGGUGAGUAAUGCCUAGGAAUCUGCCUGGUAGUGGGGGAUAACGUCCGGAAACGGGCGCUAAUACCGCAUACGUCCUGAGGGAGAAAGUGGGGGAUCUUCGGACCUCACGCUAUCAGAUGAGCCUAGGUCGGAUUAGCUAGUUGGUGGGGUAAAGGCCUACCAAGGCGACGAUCCGUAACUGGUCUGAGAGGAUGAUCAGUCACACUGGAACUGAGACACGGUCCAGACUCCUACGGGAGGCAGCAGUGGGGAAUAUUGGACAAUGGGCGAAAGCCUGAUCAAGACAUGCCGCGUGUGUGAAGAAGGUCUUCGGAUUGUAAAGCACUUUAAGUUGGGAGGAAGGGCAGUAAGUUAAUACCUUGCUGUUUUGACGUUACCAACAGAAUAAGCACCGGCUAACUUCGUG
Molecule: ribosomal RNA, 484 nt
Filed under: uncultured bacterium
Lineage: Bacteria
Description: partial 16S ribosomal RNA
Rfam family: Bacterial small subunit ribosomal RNA
Source: RNAcentral